AUUAGAUAGCAAAACCAAGAAAAAAACCAAGUCAUAAACUAAACAAAUAUGCCAGAUUCUUUCAUGCUAGA
This 71-nucleotide non-coding RNA is filed under the name Protocruzia adhaerens. The record is from RNAcentral. Lineage: Eukaryota; Ciliophora; Spirotrichea.